GACCAAUGGCUCUCUAGUUGAAACUAGGGGGGUCGGUGGAAGGUUGGUUAAACUGUUUGGUUUUCGACCACUAUGACCCGGGUUCGAUUCCCGCAUUGGGCA
Molecule: non-coding RNA, 102 nt
Organism: Cordylochernes scorpioides
Lineage: Eukaryota; Metazoa; Arthropoda; Arachnida; Pseudoscorpiones; Chernetidae
Source: the annotation of a GenBank genome assembly